AACGAACGCUGGCGGCGUGGAUUAGGCAUGCAAGUCGAACGUGAAAACACCGACGUAGCAAUACGAAGGUGCAAGUAAAGUGGCGAACGGGUGAGUAACGCGUGGGAAACCUGCUCCAGAGUGGGGGAUAACAGUUCUAACGGACUGCUAUACCGCAUGAUGCUACGGGUCGAUGACUUCGUAGUUGAAGGAGGCCUCUGUUUCAAGCUUUCGCUCCGGAAUGGUCCCGCGUCCAUUAGCUUGUUGGUGGGGUAACGGCCUACCAAGGCAACGAUGGGUAGCCGGCCUGAGAGGGUGGUCGGCCACACUGGGACUGAGAUACGGCCCAGACUCCUACGGGAGGCAGCAGUCGAGAGGCUUCGGCAAUGGGGGAAACCCUGACCGAGCGACGCCGCGUGGGUGAUGAAGAUUCUCGGAUCGUAAAACCCUGUCAGGUGGGAUGAAAUACCAUUCGGUUAACACCCGGGU
This 468-nucleotide ribosomal RNA is filed under the name uncultured bacterium. Its description in RNAcentral is "bacterial SSU rRNA". It matches the Rfam family "Bacterial small subunit ribosomal RNA", at positions 29 to 469 of the family's 1533-position model. The record is from RNAcentral.